This 227-nucleotide long non-coding RNA is filed under the name Dromaius novaehollandiae (emu). RNAcentral describes it as "lncRNA (ENSDNVG00000003328.1)". The record is from RNAcentral. Lineage: Eukaryota; Metazoa; Chordata; Aves; Casuariiformes; Dromaiidae.
CAUCAUCCUUUCUGGGUCGCUUAAAGUAAUUGCACACCUGACUUUAGUUUCAGAUACUAGCACUAUCCAGUGACCACAGUGGGGAGAGGAAGGUAAAGAACUGUAAAAAAAAGAAAAUUGCUGUCCAGCUUCUGUUCCAUCUUUCUGUGCAUCUGCUGCUGGACAUCAUUGAGAAUGAUUUGGAGCAAUCCUGUCCAGCCCUACAUUGACUUGACAUCCAACAGCUC